Molecule: ribosomal RNA, 465 nt
Filed under: uncultured bacterium
Lineage: Bacteria
Description: partial 16S ribosomal RNA
Rfam family: Bacterial small subunit ribosomal RNA
Source: RNAcentral
GACGAACGCUGGCGGCGUGCUUAACACAUGCAAGUCGUACGGUAAGGCCCUUUCGGGGGUACACGAGUGGCGAACGGGUGAGUAACACGUGAGUAACCUGCCCACAACUUUGGGAUAACGCUAGGAAACUGGUGCUAAUACUGGAUAUGUGCUCCUGCUGCAUGGUGGGGGUUGGAAAGCUCCGGCGGUUGUGGAUGGACUCGCGGCCUAUCAGCUUGUUGGUGGGGUAGUGGCCUACCAAGGCGGCGACGGGUAGCCGGCCUGGGAGGGUGACCGGCCACAUUGGGACUGAGAUACGGCCCAGACUCCUGCGGGAGGCAGCAGUGGGGAAUAUUGCACAAUGGGCGCAAGCCUGAUGCAGCAACGCCGCGUGCGGGAUGACGGCCUUCGGGUUGUAAACCGCUUUCAGCAGGGACGAAGCUUUUUGUGACGGUACCUGCAGAAGAAGCACCGGCUAACUACGUG